AUGGCACAGGAACCGUCUGUCAAGCGUCAUCGGGGCGAGACGUCCGACCAGAGCAGCAACCUCGACGAUGUUCACGUCCCCGGAGAGAAGCGUGAGUAUAACCAAACCCUCAUAGGGGUUGAGCUCCACGGCAAGGAGAUGCUGGAGAUCGUCUGCACCAGCAAACCAGACGAGGCCGACAAGGUGAUCGGCAGGCUCAAGAUGAUGAGCCUCGGCUUGUAUCCUAGAUUCAUCGAUGUUUAUGUGGAGUUUACCACAAGAGAUGAACCCCCGCAAAUGCCAACAGUCCUGCAGUUAUGCAUGGAGGAACUCUGCUUGGUGUACGACAUCGCAGCAGCCACAAAAUGGUCUUUUAUUACACAAAAAGAAAAAUAA
This 375-nucleotide ribosomal RNA is filed under the name Triticum aestivum (bread wheat). Its description in RNAcentral is "partial small subunit ribosomal RNA". The record is from RNAcentral. Lineage: Eukaryota; Viridiplantae; Streptophyta; Magnoliopsida; Poales; Poaceae.